Long non-coding RNA from Ictidomys tridecemlineatus (thirteen-lined ground squirrel), 3937 nucleotides. RefSeq lists it as uncharacterized. The record is from RefSeq and is a predicted model, not a curated record. NCBI's taxonomy places the organism in Eukaryota, Metazoa, Chordata, Mammalia, Rodentia, Sciuridae.
UUUUUAAAUGAAGGCACGUGUCCAGGGAGAAGGGUAACAAUGAAUGGGUUCUAGGUUUGGGGCUUUACGUCUUGGCUCCAGUUAGGAGAAGAUGCAUUUGUUUUCUUAACCAGUCGGUUUUUAUUUAAGAGACAAACAAGAGGCAAGGUGGGGCAGCCCCUGUGUGGGACUGUGUUCCUUCCUUCCCCUUCCCUGUAUCUCUGGCUCUUGCCUUCCCCUGGGAUCUGCCACCCUCCUCCUCUGCCCUUUCCCUCUUCCUGCCUAUGCCUCGCCUCCUUUUUCUGCUCUCCCCGUGCGGCCCCCUGUUGCUCUCAGCCCACUUCUUCUUUCCUCACCCUUCCUGCUUGCUUUGCUGCCCUCUUUCUUAGUCCCGUUGGUUCUGGUUCGUUUGUGGCCUUGGCCUCUCCCGUGCUCUUGUCUUGCUGUCGUCCCCUCAUCGCCUCACAGGGGUACAGUAGGAGCGUCAUGGGGUUGUUUUUCCUCCUCUUUUGCCUGUUAGAAGUCCCUCUGCUACACCCAUACCAUAAAUAACACUCAAGCAUCUGCCAAACACAUUCCUCACUUGUGUUAAUAGGCUGCAAUGAUGCUGGAGCCUGUUGCCAUGGCAACCUCAUUUUUGUUUGACUGUAUCCCACUCUGCUACAUAAAGCCUCUGUGCUCACUCACACACAAACAAGCACACUCCACAACUAUGAUCCAUGCUUGGAUGUCAAAGAUUAUUUUGGAGAUAGCCUCUUUGGGCCCUGUGGAGGCAGGGUGGUCAUUUGAACCCAAGGAGAUGGUCACCUCCUCCAAGUAUUACCCUAGUAGGUCAUAAUGAAUGGAGAGACCUGCUCAAAUGUUUGGUAUUAUUAUUUCACAGCCACCUUGAACCUGUUUGAUGUGAUUUCUGAGAAGAUUCUGACCCCGUAUGGGUAGGCAGGAGAGUAGAGUGCAGGGUCCCAUCCCCUCCCAACCCUGAAUUACUUUUGCUCCUUACUCCUUGCCUCCUGCCCUUUAGGAGAAACAGUGAUUUCCUGCAUUUCUUCCUUUGUGCCUGUUUGAACUCACAACUGUCACCAGUUGUUCCAGCGACCAGAAUGGCACAGGCACUGUGUGGGUGAUGUUCUGUGACUGAGCACGUGUGAGUGUCUGUUGUGCGGAGGCAAGGGAUGGGUGGGGGUAAGGACAUGGGCCAGGAAUCCACCGCUGUGGCUGCCCCAGGGCAUGUGCACGUGUGAGCCAGCGCAUGUGCCUGCCCGUGUCUGUCUGUCUGGCAGGCGUGCUGGCCCGGGUGAUGGGGGUGGCCUGAGAAGCUUUUGUGUUCACUUUGAGAGGAGAUCCUCCUGGCUCUGUUCUGUUUGUUUUUGGCUGGUAGCUGGCUUCCUAUGGCCAUUAGCUUUUCUCAUUCUUCUGACCUUGACCUAUGACUCCUCAGGGACUGUAUACACUCCCUCCCAUUUCCAUAGUGAGUUUGGGGGCUGGACUUGAGUGGGCAAACCCCUUCACCCCAAGGAGCCCAUCCUUUCCUUUUUCCUGCUGUGCAGUGGCUCAGCAGCAGGAUGAACACUAUUGGAGUGCCACCUCCUUGAUCUGGAACUUGGCCCAGUGGCCAGUCUGGAGGAUCACUGUGGCUGCCCUAUUUGCACUGCUGGGUGGUAUGGAGGACACUUCUACCACAAAGACCAGGUCAUUGUCUGCCACCAAUGACUUCCCCGUCACCUGUGUUUCUGUGCAGGAGAAAUCUGGCCACAAGUGAAUUCCAAAUAGCACCAGCAGGCUGGGGGUGGGGUUGACUUUGAAUUUGGAGUGGAGAAGGGUCUGCUUGUCUUGAUAAUUGCAUUUAGCAGUUACGUUUGCUAAUUGUCUUUGAUUGUGUUGCCUACUUCUCCAGGCAGCUAGGAGGGAAUGUGUGAAGAGGAACAGAAGCCGCUCCUGGCAAGAGCUGGAGCAGGUUUCUGGGUAGGGGAUGUUCUGCUAGACCUCAAGGGUACCUUGAUCACUGUGGGGAGGACUUCAGGAAUGGUGGAGACUCAGCCAAGGAGCAGAAUGCCUGGCUGCUAUAUCUGUAGGAAAGUUCGCUGUUAAUAAUUCAAUUUAAGUUGUGAUUUGCAAGCAAGAGCAUGAAGUCUCUGUGCUGUGGGACACAGAACAGAAUGCUUCCAUUUAUGUGAAGAGGGCACAGGCAGUUGUUAAGCACUAUCAUGGAAACCUGUUUGACCUUGCAGGAGAGUUUAAAAAUCAGUGUAAAAGCCUUGAACAAAAGCUCUCUUCUAGAGACAGACAGGCCCUGGACAUGAGUCCCUGUGUCAGAGAGUGUAGCUGGCAGCAGAACAGGGCUGUGGCAUCUCCUCUCCUGGGAGGUAUGAAUGGAACUACCACUUUGGUCCCAGGCAUGGGUGUAGUGGGGAAAGGGCAGGGUGACCAGAGGGGGGGACCUCCUGGGUUGUGCCAGUCUCUAGCUGGGUGACAUCUGGUCCAUGAUUGCCUGCUCUUUAUUUCAACUAACUUUAUUCAUCUGUGGCAGGUCCAGCUUGUGGUCAUUUCUUCCCAGGAGUGCUCCCUGGCCUGGGAGUGGAAAGUUGCUCUGGGGGCUCCAACAUGCCUGUUCCCAUAAGCCCUUUGGGUGGCAGUUAUAUAAGUGACGUUUGAGCACAUUCUUUUCUCACCCAUGCUUACCAGAUGGGGGUAGCUGGCUGGUGGAGGACAGGAUCAACACUGAUUUUCUCUCCUGAACACAAAACUUAAUAGAGAUCAUUGAAAAGUACCAAUUUCUUUUUCUUUUUUUUUUUUUCCCCUCAAGGCGAUGUCCAAAUAUAGGAUGGGGAAGAUCUCUAUGGCAUUGUGAAAAAAUCUGGGAGUUUCUAGUUAACAGACAGUGCUCUUAAGGAAGAAACUCUUAAAGAAUAUUGGUGAUAAACAAUGAGCAUGCGUCGAGUCUUCACGAUGUACCCUGCAUGGGGCUAAUCCCUUACAUGCAAGACCUUUACUUAACCUUACUAUCAACAGUGAAGAAACCAGGAUAGGAGAAGCCUCCUGAGCUGCUGGGAUUACAGAUGUGCACCACAGAAUCCAGCCAGAAAAAUCAUUUCUUCAGUCCUUGCCUCUAGGUCCCUUUUCAGCGAAAUCCAGAGAGUAAAGAAGCCAGAUCCUGGUGCAGGUUGGACUUGACUGCAAGGGAGGAGAAGGCCCUUUGUUGGGGACACAAAAGUAUCAAAUGGAGAACUUGAUUGAUAUAGAAGCCUGAGCUUCUCUCUUAUUUGAUAAUAUAUGUUGUCACUAGUAUAUUGGUUUCUGGAUUAGAAGGAUGAUGUGAAAAAAAUGUGAAGCGUAUUUUUAAGAAAAAUAUGUGUUAUUUUUUGAAUUGUUAAUUUUUUAAAAAUGAUGUGGCUUUCCCUGCCCUUUUUUGUUAGCCAUCUAAUCUCUUCAGAUUUCUAAGCGGUUGUGACAGGGGACAGUAGACCUUGUAAUAAAAAAAAAAAAAAAGUUUUCUUAAAAUGAGAAAAGAAGACCUUGAUUUGCAGCAUUUUUGCAGGCCUGAAAGAAAUUACAUGCUGACUUAAGGGCCUGCCAGCUUCUUGGCCAGGCUGUGACAUGGCUCAGCCGAUGGAGGACUCAGUAAUUAGGAGUCUUCUCCUGGAGUCUGCAGGGAACUUGGUCUGCUAUGGCAGUGCCUCUUCCUUGGUAUUUCUGUAGUUUGACACUCAGCAGACUUAACUCUGAUGGAACUUGCCCAGACCACCAUGCACAGACAUCUAAAUUCGUCAUCUCAAUACUCCAUUAUUAAGCACCAUGUGUGUGCUAUAUGGCUAAAGUCAUAUAAUCACAGGAGUGAGACAGGGUCCUUGCGGGGAUGGGAGGGAGAUUUGCUCCAUGCUAAUAGACCUAGGCCAGGGUCCUUUUGAGGGUCCCUGUGUCAUCACGCAUGAUUUGUUACCUGUGUGUGGUCAUGUGGGUG